CCUACGGGAGGCAGCAGUGAGGAAUAUUGGUCAAUGGGCGGAAGCCUGUACCAGCCAAGUAGCGUUCAGGAUGACGGCCCUACGGGUUGUAAACUGCUUUUAUACGGGAAUAACGCGCCUUACGUGUAGGGCUUUGCAUGUACCGUAUGAAUAAGGACCGGCUAAUUCCGUGCCAGCAGCCGCGGUAAUACGGAAGGUCCGGGCGUUAUCCGGAUUUAUUGGGUUUAAAGGGAGCGUAGGCCGCAUGUCAAGCGUGCUGUGAAAUGUCCGGGCUCAACCCGGGCCUUGCAGCGCGAACUGGCGUGCUUGAGUCCGCGGAAAGCAGGCGGAAUUCGUCGUGUAGCGGUGAAAUGCUUAGAUAUGACGAAGAACCCCGAUUGCGAAGGCAGCUUGCUGCAGCGGAACUGACGCUGAUGCUCGAAAGCGCGGGUAUCGAACAGGAUUAGAUACCCUUGUAGUC
This 460-nucleotide ribosomal RNA is filed under the name uncultured bacterium. RNAcentral's name for it is "partial 16S ribosomal RNA". It matches the Rfam family "Bacterial small subunit ribosomal RNA", at positions 338 to 795 of the family's 1533-position model. The record is from RNAcentral.